This is a long non-coding RNA of Lemur catta (Ring-tailed lemur), 451 nucleotides long. RefSeq lists it as uncharacterized. NCBI's taxonomy places the organism in Eukaryota, Metazoa, Chordata, Mammalia, Primates, Lemuridae. The transcript is spliced from 5 exons. The record is from RefSeq and is a predicted model, not a curated record.
GGAAGGUGCCACAAAGUGAAACUGGCUUCUGGAUCUGCCGGGUGAGAGUGAAAGUAAAGGUCACUUUUUGGUCCCCUGAGACCAAGACGCGACGGCAGCUCAUCCCUCAGCCCCGCAUCCUUCCUUCCGAGCCCCGGAUCACGCAGACCUUACAGAGUCUUCAUACGGAGUGGUGAACACCACCAGUUUCUCAUCUUUGUUCAUGAGCUGUCCGCACGGAAUCUAAAAGAAAAAAAAAUGAAGGACGUGAGGCUCAGACGUGUCUCAAAUGAAGUUUACUAUCCCAGCCAGAUGCGAGAAGACAGACCACAAGCUUACCUUCUGCCGGGUCCUAAUCAAAGUGACAAAGGAGACAAUUGGACAAAAGAUACUCUGCAAUCAAAGGGCUUCUCUUUCAAGUGGAAGCAAAUAAAUAAAAUAAAGCCCACCCUGAGGACACAGGCCUUGUCAA